UUAAGCGACUAAGCGUACACGGUGGAUGCCCUGGCAGUCAGAGGCGAUGAAGGACGUGCUAAUCUGCGAUAAGCGUCGGUAAGGUGAUAUGAACCGUUAUAACCGGCGAUUUCCGAAUGGGGAAACCCAGUGUGUUUCGACACACUAUCAUUAACUGAAUCCAUAGGUUAAUGAGGCGAACCGGGGGAACUGAAACAUCUAAGUACCCCGAGGAAAAGAAAUCAACCGAGAUUCCCCAGUAGCGGCGAGCGAACGGGGAGCAGCCCAGAGCCUGAAUCAGUGUGUGUGUUAGUGGAAGCGUCUGGAAAGGCGCGCGAUACAGGGUGACAGCCCCGUACACAAAAAUGCACAUGCUGUGAGCUCGAUGAGUAGGGCGGGACACGUGGUAUCCUGUCUGAAUAUGGGGGGACCAUCCUCCAAGGCUAAAUACUCCUGACUGACCGAUAGUGAACCAGUACCGUGAGGGAAAGGCGAAAAGAACCCCGGCGAGGGGAGUGAAAAAGAACCUGAAACCGUGUACGUACAAGCAGUGGGAGCACGCUUAGGCGUGUGACUGCGUACCUUUUGUAUAAUGGGUCAGCGACUUAUAUUCUGUAGCAAGGUUAACCGAAUAGGGGAGCCGAAGGGAAACCGAGUCUUAACUGGGCGUUAAGUUGCAGGGUAUAGACCCGAAACCCGGUGAUCUAGCCAUGGGCAGGUUGAAGGUUGGGUAACACUAACUGGAGACCGAACCGACUAAUGUUGAAAAAUUAGCGGAUGACUUGUGGCUGGGGGUGAAAGGCCAAUCAAACCGGGAGAUAGCUGGUUCUCCCCGAAAGCUAUUUAGGUAGCGCCUCGUGAAUUCAUCUCCGGGGGUAGAGCACUGUUUCGGCAAGGGGGUCAUCCCGACUUACCAACCCGAUGCAAACUGCGAAUACCGGAGAAUGUUAUCACGGGAGACACACGGCGGGUGCUAACGUCCGUCGUGAAGAGGGAAACAACCCAGACCGCCAGCUAAGGUCCCAAAGUCAUGGUUAAGUGGGAAACGAUGUGGGAAGGCCCAGACAGCCAGGAUGUUGGCUUAGAAGCAGCCAUCAUUUAAAGAAAGCGUAAUAGCUCACUGGUCGAGUCGGCCUGCGCGGAAGAUGUAACGGGGCUAAACCAUGCACCGAAGCUGCGGCAGCGACGCUGAUGCGUUGUUGGGUAGGGGAGCGUUCUGUAAGCCUGCGAAGGUGUGCUGUGAGGCAUGCUGGAGGUAUCAGAAGUGCGAAUGCUGACAUAAGUAACGAUAAAGCGGGUGAAAAGCCCGCUCGCCGGAAGACCAAGGGUUCCUGUCCAACGUUAAUCGGGGCAGGGUGAGUCGACCCCUAAGGCGAGGCCGAAAGGCGUAGUCGAUGGGAAACAGGUUAAUAUUCCUGUACUUGGUGUUACUGCGAAGGGGGGACGGAGAAGGCUAUGUUGGCCGGGCGACGGUUGUCCCGGUUUAAGCGUGUAGGCUGGUUUUCCAGGCAAAUCCGGAAAAUCAAGGCUGAGGCGUGAUGACGAGGCACUACGGUGCUGAAGCAACAAAUGCCCUGCUUCCAGGAAAAGCCUCUAAGCAUCAGGUAACAUCAAAUCGUACCCCAAACCGACACAGGUGGUCAGGUAGAGAAUACCAAGGCGCUUGAGAGAACUCGGGUGAAGGAACUAGGCAAAAUGGUGCCGUAACUUCGGGAGAAGGCACGCUGAUAUGUAGGUGAAGUCCCUCGCGGAUGGAGCUGAAAUCAGUCGAAGAUACCAGCUGGCUGCAACUGUUUAUUAAAAACACAGCACUGUGCAAACACGAAAGUGGACGUAUACGGUGUGACGCCUGCCCGGUGCCGGAAGGUUAAUUGAUGGGGUCAGCGCAAGCGAAGCUCUUGAUCGAAGCCCCGGUAAACGGCGGCCGUAACUAUAACGGUCCUAAGGUAGCGAAAUUCCUUGUCGGGUAAGUUCCGACCUGCACGAAUGGCGUAAUGAUGGCCAGGCUGUCUCCACCCGAGACUCAGUGAAAUUGAACUCGCUGUGAAGAUGCAGUGUACCCGCGGCAAGACGGAAAGACCCCGUGAACCUUUACUAUAGCUUGACACUGAACAUUGAGCCUUGAUGUGUAGGAUAGGUGGGAGGCUUGGAAGUGUGGACGCCAGUCUGCAUGGAGCCGACCUUGAAAUACCACCCUUUAAUGUUUGAUGUUCUAACGUUGACCCGUGAUCCGGGUUGCGGACAGUGUCUGGUGGGUAGUUUGACUGGGGCGGUCUCCUCCUAAAGAGUAACGGAGGAGCACGAAGGUUGGCUAAUCCUGGUCGGACAUCAGGAGGUUAGUGCAAUGGCAUAAGCCAGCUUGACUGCGAGCGUGACGGCGCGAGCAGGUGCGAAAGCAGGUCAUAGUGAUCCGGUGGUUCUGAAUGGAAGGGCCAUCGCUCAACGGAUAAAAGGUACUCCGGGGAUAACAGGCUGAUACCGCCCAAGAGUUCAUAUCGACGGCGGUGUUUGGCACCUCGAUGUCGGCUCAUCACAUCCUGGGGCUGAAGUAGGUCCCAAGGGUAUGGCUGUUCGCCAUUUAAAGUGGUACGCGAGCUGGGUUUAGAACGUCGUGAGACAGUUCGGUCCCUAUCUGCCGUGGGCGCUGGAGAACUGAGGGGGGCUGCUCCUAGUACGAGAGGACCGGAGUGGACGCAUCACUGGUGUUCGGGUUGUCAUGCCAAUGGCACUGCCCGGUAGCUAAAUGCGGAAGAGAUAAGUGCUGAAAGCAUCUAAGCACGAAACUUGCCCCGAGAUGAGUUCUCCCUGACUCCUUGAGAGUCCUGAAGGAACGUUGAAGACGACGACGUUGAUAGGCCGGGUGUGUAAGCGCAGCGAUGCGUUGAGCUAACCGGUACUAAUGAACCGUGAGGCUUAACCUU
This 2900-nucleotide ribosomal RNA is filed under the name Escherichia coli. Its description in RNAcentral is "bacterial LSU rRNA". It matches the Rfam family "Bacterial large subunit ribosomal RNA". The record is from RNAcentral. Lineage: Bacteria; Pseudomonadati; Pseudomonadota; Gammaproteobacteria; Enterobacterales; Enterobacteriaceae.